Molecule: non-coding RNA, 75 nt
Organism: Myotis lucifugus (little brown bat)
Lineage: Eukaryota; Metazoa; Chordata; Mammalia; Chiroptera; Vespertilionidae
Source: Rfam
GGCUGUUCUUGAGGUGACACAUCCAGAAUGAGGCUCCUUCCUCUCUGGUUCCAAGUGCGUCACCUGAGAACCGCA